RNAcentral lists this ribosomal RNA (262 nucleotides) under uncultured bacterium. RNAcentral describes it as "partial 16S ribosomal RNA". It matches the Rfam family "Bacterial small subunit ribosomal RNA", at positions 793 to 1055 of the family's 1533-position model. The record is from RNAcentral.
GUCCACGCUGUAAACGAUGUCAACUAGCCGUUGGGCCUAUUUACAGGUUUAGUGGCGCAGCUAACGCAUUAAGUUGACCGCCUGGGGAGUACGGCCGCAAGGUUAAACUCAAAUGAAUUGACGGGGCCCGCACAAGCGGUGGAGCAUGUGGUUUAAUUCGAUGCAACGCGAAGAACCUUACCUACCCUUGACAUCCAGAGAAUCUGUUAGAGAUAGUAGAGUGCCUUCGGGAGCUCUGAGACAGGUGCUGCAUGGCUGUCGU